UCAUUCCAAAGGGCAAAGCGGAGCCCGGGGCUUUCCAGCGGGACGGGAAGGGCGGCUUCGGGAGCCCCAUUCCCAGGGAAAGCCGACGGAGAGGGAACAUGAAAAGCGCCGGAGCCGCCGGCGUGGGCGGACUGGGAGAGGAUGAAAAGCCGGGAUCAGGCUCCGCGGAGCCCGGAGGAAUUCCAGAAUUUGGGAACGAGGGGUACCAGGAGCUGGGCAGCCACCCCUGUUCUUAUCCGGGUGGGAAUUUGGGGCAAAUCCUCGAGGUUUGGCUCCGUCGGGAUCGGAUCCCGGGGGCGUUUUCCAGCCCCGGCUUUUCCCGAGGCGCCGCCGGAGCCGCCGCGUCUCCUUUCAUUUUCUCAUUUUCUCCUUUUCCCGCGACCGGCCCGACCGGCCGGACCGCUCCGCCGGGAAAUUCCGCCGGGAAGCUCCCGGAGCCCGCCGGGAUCCCCCCUCGGGGUUCCAGCCCUUUCCCCGCUCACCCUCUCGUCCCCCCGCGUGGAUUCGUUGUCCAGCAAAGGCUCUCCCGGCGCUUGGAUCGUCACCGAUUUGUCCCCGCGCGUCCCAUCCCGGCUUUUGGAGCGGUGCCGCUCCCGCCGAUCCCUGGGAAAAGCGGGAAAAGCGGGGGGAAAUUGGGGGAAAAAGGGGGAAAAACGGGGUUGGGACACGCACCGAGAUGGGGGCACCCACAAAAUUUGGGGAUGGGGAACGCGGGGCGCCUCACCUGUGCUUGCGGGAGCUGCGGGAAUGGCCGGAUUUGUAGGAAUAUCCGGAAUACUGCGACUCAUUAUCCAUGGCGUCGGAGCGCCGGGCUUUGUGCCGCUCCAGGAUGUGGGAUUUGGGUUUUCCCGGGAGAGCGGCCAGGGCCUCCUUCAGCGGGGGCUUCUUCAGGCCCAGGGGCGCCUUCAGGAAGUCGACCGUGACCUUGAGGGGCUCAAUUUUGUCACCUUGGGGUGGCCUCGCUCAGGAGAAAAGGACGCGCCCGCCUGCGGGGACACGCGGGGGGCGUCACUGGGGCCGGCCCAGUAUGGCCCAGUAUGGCCCAGUAUGGCCCAGUAAGGGGGGAAGGGUCCCAGAGCCCCUCCUGACCCUGCAUCCCAUUUCCCGGUGGGAAAUGGGGCUGGGAA
Molecule: long non-coding RNA, 1127 nt
Filed under: Chloebia gouldiae (Gouldian finch)
Lineage: Eukaryota; Metazoa; Chordata; Aves; Passeriformes; Passeridae
Description: Erythrura gouldiae (Gouldian finch) lncRNA (ENSEGOG00005010720.1)
Source: RNAcentral